UGGGGAAUUUUGGACAAUGGGCGAAAGCCUGAUCCAGCCAUGCCGCGUGCAGGAUGAAGGCCUUCGGGUUGUAAACUGCUUUUGUACGGAACGAAAAGACUCUGGUUAAUACCUGGGGUCCAUGACGGUACCGUAAGAAUAAGCACCGGCUAACUACGUGCCAGCAGCCGCGGUAAUACGUAGGGUGCAAGCGUUAAUCGGAAUUACUGGGCGUAAAGCGUGCGCGGGCGGUUAUAUAAGACAGAUGUGAAAUCCCCGGGCUCAACCUGGGAACUGCAUUUGUGACUGUAUAGCUAGAGUACGGCAGAGGGGGAUGGAAUUCCGCGUGUAGCAGUGAAAUGCGUAGAUAUGCGGAGGAACACCGAUGGCGAAGGCAAUCCCCUGGGCCUGUACUGACGCUCAUGCACGAAAAGCGUGGGGAGCAAACAGGAUUAGAUACCCUGGUAGUCCACGCCCUAAACGAUGUCAACUGGUUGUUGGGUCUUCACUGACUCAGUAACGAAGCUAAACGCGUGAAGUUGACCGCCUGGGGAGUACGGCCGCAAGGUUGAAAACUCAAAUGAAUUGACGGGGGUCAUAGCU
This 582-nucleotide ribosomal RNA is filed under the name uncultured bacterium. RNAcentral's name for it is "partial 16S ribosomal RNA". It matches the Rfam family "Bacterial small subunit ribosomal RNA", at positions 355 to 927 of the family's 1533-position model. The record is from RNAcentral.